GGGGAUUUAGCUCAGUGGUAGAGCACUUGCCUAGCAAGCGAAAGGCCCUGGGUUCGGUCCCCAGCUCA
RNAcentral lists this transfer RNA (68 nucleotides) under Rattus norvegicus (Norway rat). It matches the Rfam family "tRNA". From Rfam's summary of the family: Transfer RNA (tRNA) molecules are approximately 80 nucleotides in length. Their secondary structure includes four short double-helical elements and three loops (D, anti-codon, and T loops). The record is from Rfam by way of RNAcentral. Lineage: Eukaryota; Metazoa; Chordata; Mammalia; Rodentia; Muridae.